UUCCCGUUGAUCCUGCCGGACCCGACUGCUAUCAGAGUGGGACUAAGCCAUGCGAGUCGACGUAGCAAUGCGUGGCGAACGGCUCAGUAACACGUAGUCAACAUGCCCAGGGGACGUGGAUAACCUCGGGAAACUGAGAAUAAACCACGAUAGGUCACGAUUUCUGGAAUGGAUCAUGGCCUAAAUCUACAUGGCCCCUGGAUUGGACUGCGGCCGAUCAGGCUGUUGGUGAGGUAAUGGCCCACCAAACCCAUAACCGGUACGGGCUCUGAGAGGAGAAGCCCGGAGAUGGGCACUGAGACAAGGGCCCAGGCCCUAUGGGGCGCAGCAGGCGCGAAACCUCUGCAAUAGGCGAAAGCCUGACAGGGUUACUCUGAGUGAUUUCCGCUAAGGGGAUCUUUUGGCACCUCUAAAAAUGGUGCAGAAUAAGGGGUGGGCAAGUCUGGUGUCAGCCGCCGCGGUAAUACCAGCACCCCGAGUGGUCGGGACGAUUAUUGGGCCUAAAGCAUCCGUAGCCGGUUCUGCAAGUCUUCCGUUAAAUCCAGCCGCUCAACGGAUGGGCCGCGGAGGAUACUACAGGACUAGGAGGCGGGAGAGGCAAGCGGUACUCAGUGGGUAGGGGUAAAAUCCUUUGAUCCAUUGAAGACCACCAGUGGCGAAGGCGGCUUGCCAGAACGCGCUCGACGGUGAGGGAUGAAAGCUGGGGGAGCAAACCGGAUUAGAUACCCGGGUAGUCCCAGCUGUAAACGAUGCAGACUCGGUGAUGGGCUAGCCUUGUGCCAGCCCAGUGCCGCAGGGAAGCCGUUAAGUCUGCCGCCUGGGGAGUACGGUCGCAAGACUGAAACUUAAAGGAAUUGGCGGGGGAGCA
Molecule: ribosomal RNA, 868 nt
Filed under: uncultured archaeon
Lineage: Archaea
Description: bacterial SSU rRNA
Rfam family: Archaeal small subunit ribosomal RNA
Source: RNAcentral